GCAGCAUUGCAUGAUUCUGCGUUCAUGCAAUCAAAUUGUGAUUAGGUCUCACUCCUUCCGCACAAAUCCUGUAUCCAAGAGUGGAUUAUUCUUUUCGUUACAAUUGGAGUUUCCUGGAAGUAAGAUUUAGCUGAGACGAAAGAGAGCUCACACACACGAUUGUCUCAGAGGAUUAAACAUUUUAGCGUCGGAAGUGGUGCCAUGGCGGGGGACGAAGCAGGCUCAUCAGCCGUCGUUGUGGACGAUAACGGACGUUUGCGAGUAUUGGACCUGGAGACUAAUUCUCAUAGCCGCUUGGUGGCGAAAUCGUGCGAUGUGUUUCAGUGCAAGCUUCAGGACUUUCAGAACGUUUUCUUGCAUGUGCGAAUGAAGUAGUUAGUGAAGCAGUUACUCGACCAGGCAAACGAGAAAGCGCAGCAAAUAGAAGAUGCGAAGCUGUCAGCGGUUGGUAUGCGUAACAUGGUGUCUGCAGAGAUUGAAACAAGGCCAGAAAAGCUACGUGACCAGGCAAGAUUGAUAGCUGACAAACAGGAGCAGCUCGAGAGGCUUAAUGCAGAAUACGAAUCAUUGCUGACGGUCAAGCAAGAACAAGAGGCUCUCAUCGCCCGUCUGUCGGGUUCAAGUUUGCAAGUUUGAUUGCGGUAUCUUGCAGCAGGGGCAUGUAACCACAUUGUAAACCAAAGCCUAAAAAAUGUUACAACUAACAAAUACCGGCACAUCUCUAUUUUUCCCUCAAUCGAUCUGCUGCCUAGCCCAUUUCACCGGGUGCUGGACUGUUCGAAUUCCUGCACUUGGAAAGAUUCAACACCAAAAGGGCAAAUGUACCUCUGCAGCGCUCCUACACCUCGCCUCACUACAUUCCUUCAGACAUCUGAAUAUUCAAGUUUUUUGCAUUUUACUCAUGAAGAGUUUUCGUCACAGCGAUGAUUGCUAAAUCCAAAGACUAUUGACUUCCCGACAUAAAGCGAGAGGAUGCUUCAGUUAUGACUCAGAAGCUUUAGUGUAUGGCCUGCAAAUCUAGUGAACCAGACCUAAGUGGUACACCUUGCAUGUAGGCAUCCUACCCGAAAGCCUCGAGAAUUUUAGAGAAACCACAGAACAGAAGCACAAAAAAGAACAUAAAGCCACCUUUUGAGAAUUCAGCAGCAGGCUUGAAUCAGGUGCUACGAUAUAAACAAGAAGAAGAAACAAGUACUUCAAUGUUGCAAGUACAAUUUUAAAAGAAUUUUAAGUAUUACGUUUUUUGUGAUUUCUAUUUUUAAUCUUGUUUAUUA
Physcomitrium patens is the source of this 1274-nucleotide non-coding RNA. Lineage: Eukaryota; Viridiplantae; Streptophyta; Bryopsida; Funariales; Funariaceae. The record is from RefSeq and is a predicted model, not a curated record.